ACGGGUGAGUAACGCGUGGGUGACCUGCCUUCGAGCGGGGGAUAACGUUCCGAAAGGGACGCUAAUACCGCAUGACAUUCUGCCUUUGAAGAGGUGGUAAUCAAAGCCGGGGAUCGCAAGACCUGGCACUCGAAGAGGGGCCCGCGUCCGAUUAGCUAGUUGGUGGGGUAAUGGCUCACCAAGGCAACGAUCGGUAGCCGGCCUGAGAGGGCGGACGGCCACACUGGGACUGAGACACGGCCCAGACUCCUACGGGAGGCAGCAGUGGGGAAUUGUUCGCAAUGGGCGCAAGCCUGACGACGCAACGCCGCGUGGAGGAUGAAGACCUUCGGGUCGUAAACUCCUUUCGAUUGGGACGAAUGGCCUCCGGGUGAACAAUCCGGGGGAGUGACGGUACCGAGAGAAGAAGCCCCGGCUAACUCCGUGCCAGCAGCCGCGGUAAUACGGGGGGGCAAGCGUUGUUCGGAAUUACUGGGCGUAAAGGGCUCGUAGGCGGCCAACUAAGUCAGACGUGAAAUCCCUCGGCUUAACCGGGGAACUGCGUCUGAUACUGGAUGGCUUGAGUCCGGGAGAGGGAUGCGGAAUU
This 586-nucleotide ribosomal RNA is filed under the name uncultured bacterium. RNAcentral describes it as "bacterial SSU rRNA". It matches the Rfam family "Bacterial small subunit ribosomal RNA", at positions 102 to 668 of the family's 1533-position model. The record is from RNAcentral.